This 326-nucleotide ribosomal RNA is filed under the name uncultured Streptococcus sp. RNAcentral describes it as "bacterial SSU rRNA". It matches the Rfam family "Bacterial small subunit ribosomal RNA", at positions 1055 to 1382 of the family's 1533-position model. The record is from RNAcentral. Lineage: Bacteria; Bacillati; Bacillota; Bacilli; Lactobacillales; Streptococcaceae.
UCAGCUCGUGCCGUGAGAUGUUGGGUUAAGUCCCGCAACGAGCGCAACCCCUAUUGUAGUUGCCAUCAUUCAGUUGGGCACUCUAGCGAGACUGCCGGUAAUAAACCCGGAGGAAGGUGGGGAUGACGUCAAAUCAUCAUGCCCCUUAUGACCUGGGCUACACACGUGCUACAAUGGUUGGUACAACGAGUUGCGAGUCGGUGACGGCGAGCUAAUCUCCUAAAGCCAAUCUCAGUUCGGAUUGUAGGCUGCAACUCGCCUACAUGAAGUCGGAAUCGCUAGUAAUCGCGGAUCAGCACGCCGCGGUGAAUACGUUCCCGGGCCUU